Non-coding RNA from Pelobates cultripes (western spadefoot toad), 257 nucleotides. The record is from the annotation of a GenBank genome assembly. NCBI's taxonomy places the organism in Eukaryota, Metazoa, Chordata, Amphibia, Anura, Pelobatidae.
CCAGAUACAGCAAUAGGUGGUGUGUAAUCCCUAAAGAGGAGCUCAAUUCUAUCAUAUAUUUUCGGAGAAGCUGAUAUUAAUAGGGUUAUUUACGGAAGUGGGAAUUCAAAGGGCAUUCACAGGGAAUUUCAAAACUAAGACUAAGGUAGCUGAACUGGAAGCCUAGCUGAUUUAGAGAAUUUUACUAUUAUGGCCUGAAAUUCAAAUUAACUUUGAAUUUUCACUUUAGUGAAUAUUCUUGCAAGUGUGUGGAAUAG